This 1988-nucleotide ribosomal RNA is filed under the name Triticum aestivum (bread wheat). Its description in RNAcentral is "partial small subunit ribosomal RNA". The record is from RNAcentral. Lineage: Eukaryota; Viridiplantae; Streptophyta; Magnoliopsida; Poales; Poaceae.
AUGGAGCCCGCCCCCACGUCGCCCGAUCCGGCGCCCCGCUCCCCGGCGCCGUCGCCGUCGCCGGCCAAGAGGUCCGCCUGGAAGCAGCCCUCCCCCUCCGCCGCCGCCAACGGCGCCCCGCACGCCGACGCGCCGCCGCCGCCGGCCGUCAUGGACGCCGACCACUNNNNNNNNNNNNNNNNNNNNNNNNNNNNNNNNNNNNNNNNNNNNNNNNNNNNGCCCCCCUCCGACUCCCCCAAGCCUCCCCCGGACCCCUCCCCCGCCAACGCCGCCGCCGCCGCAUCGGCCAUGGCGAACCCGUCCAACUCGCCCCGGCACGGCGGCUCCGGGACGCACCACGGCCGCCACAAGACAGCUAGGCGCGGGGGCGCCGGCGGCAGCGGCGGGGGUGGAGACCACUCCCCGCGGGAUCACCAGGAGAGGAGCCCCGGCGGCUGGGACCAUGGCGGCGGCGGUGGCGGCGGGAGGGGCGGCCAGAGAAGCCACCACAACAACGGCGGCAGGAGGGGCGGUGGCAACGGUGGCCCGGGCGGCCCAGGAGGUGGUGGAGUUCCUCACCACGGCGGGUUUGGCGGACGCCGGAGAGGCGGGUUUGAUGGUGGCUUCUUCCGUGGCCCCGGGAUGGGCAUCGGGCCGUACAUGCGGGGGGCGCCGCCGCCGCCCCCGCCGCUGGCCGUCGCUCCUCCCUUCAUGGGCCACCCUCCGCCUCCCGGCUCGCAUAUGCGAGCCUUUGCUGGACCGAUGAUGGCGUUUCAUGAUAUGCCAUCACCAGUGUCUCCUGUUUCCCCAAUGUACUAUGUUGGGCCUCCGCCGCUUCCAGAGGCUCUUAGGGGAAUGGCAUUCGCACCUCAUAUGGUCGGCCCACCUGCUUAUCCCUACUUUCAGCCCCCGGCUGAGCCUGAGCCUGAGCCUGAGCCUGAGCCCGAGACUGAGCCUGAGCCCGUGGCUGAGCCGGAUUCCGAGGCUAAACGCCAGAAGCUGCAGAACCAGUUUGAGUUCUACUUCAGCAAGGACAACUUAUGUGGAGAUGUUUACUUGCGGCAACAUAUGGAUGAGGAGGGCUUUGUAUCGGUCCCUUUUAUGUCAACAACUUUCAAUAAGGUCCGGGAAAUCACUGCCGAUAUUCCUAACGCCAAUUUGCAGUAUAUAAUAGAAACAAUUCAGUCCUCAUCUAUACUGGAAGUGAAGGGCGACAAAGUUAGGAGGAAAGAUGACUGGGACAAAUGGUUAAUUCCGAAAGAGAGCAACCCUAAUAUUCCGUCAAGCUCUGCAGCAGCUGUGCCAAGCCCCAGCACCAAUGUCAAUGAUCUGACAGCACAGCUUGGAGGUGUGGGCCUGCAAGAACCAGCUGGCCCUAGUAGCACGGUGGACCAGAACCAUCAUGAGGUGGUCCAGAAUGGAUCGGCUUCCAGCAAUAACCCAGCACCGGCAGCUGAAGAAAGCGCUGGCCAGCGCUAGCCACACACCGUCUCCUUAUCACACUAUGACUGCAAGGGUUUUUGUCCGAGCGCGAGUGACGAGAGUAGAAAUGAUGAUGAUACUUUGCGAUUUUUGGAAGGUGGUAUGCUUGCGGGGUUGCAUUAGGCUGACAAGCGGGUUCGUUUUGCGGGGUUGAUGUGGCCUUCUGGUUAUUGGUGAAAAUCGGUCUACUAGCUGAAACGAUAGGCGGCCAAACAAAAGGGUUUAUUGUGUAGGGGGGCAUCAAACGCGAUGAGUGGGAGAAGCCGAAGAAGAGGAUGAAAAAGACGCUGAUUAGGGCUAGUUGCUUAGUGUGCGGUUCCGGACCGUCGUCGUCGGUUAUUUUGGCUAUGUGGGUAUUUGAAGUCCAAAACUCUGUCGGUUUCUUCCCCCCAUUUGGAUUGGAUGUAAACCUCCAUUUUUUGACGGAGGAGGAUGAUGUGAUGAACUUUCUUGUCAGCUGUUUCGCCAAACGAGAAUGUUGUACAACUCCUUGGUGUAGUAUUUUACAGAUAUUUCCUCUCGUGCUG